CCUACGGGAGGCUGCAGUGAGGAAUAUUGGUCAAUGGACGAGAGUCUGAACCAGCCAAGUAGCGUGAAGGAUGACUGCCCUAUGGGUUGUAAACUUCUUUUAUAUGGGAAUAAAAUGUUCCACGUGUGGGAUUUUGUAUGUACCAUAUGAAUAAGGAUCGGCUAACUCCGUGCCAGCAGCCGCGGUAAUACGGAGGAUCCGAGCGUUAUCCGGAUUUAUUGGGUUUAAAGGGCGCGUAGGUGGAUUGUUAAGUCAGUUGUGAAAGUUUGCGGCUCAACCGUAAAAUUGCAGUUGAAACUGGCAGUCGUGAGUACAGUAGAGGUGGGCGGAAUUCGUGGUGUAGCGGUGAAAUGCUUAGAUAUCACGAAGAACUCCGAUUGCGAAGGCAGCUCACUGGACUGCAACUGACACUGAGGCUCGAAAGUGUGGGUAUCAAACAGGAUUAGAUACCCGAGUAGUC
RNAcentral lists this ribosomal RNA (460 nucleotides) under uncultured bacterium. Its description in RNAcentral is "partial 16S ribosomal RNA". It matches the Rfam family "Bacterial small subunit ribosomal RNA", at positions 338 to 795 of the family's 1533-position model. The record is from RNAcentral.